Molecule: long non-coding RNA, 384 nt
Filed under: Onthophagus taurus
Lineage: Eukaryota; Metazoa; Arthropoda; Insecta; Coleoptera; Scarabaeidae
Description: uncharacterized LOC111416070, transcript variant X1
Source: RNAcentral
CGUUAUCUCGCGAUAACACAAAGUAACUAAUUUAUUGUCUGUUUUAGGCAGUUUAAUCCGAAUAUCAGAUUUUUAUCAAAGCAUUUUAGGUAAAAAUGGGUUCGCAAAUACCUAAAGCAACUUUACUUCGCUUCCCAACAAUAUUUGGGGGAAUGCUUGUCUUAGCAGGAGUUGGAUUGAUUUACCGAGAGAAAUUUUUGGGGAAUAUCGAAGAACAACGGUUACAAUUGUAUAAGGAAUGCCCUGAAAGCCGAGAAGCGUACGAAAAAUAUAGAAGAGAACAUGGAAGAUGAUACCUAAGUUAUUGUACUUGUUUUUUUCAGUAAAUAAGUGUAUAGAUUUGUUAUAUAUUAAAAAUAUACUCUUUAAUGUAACCUUAAUUAC